CUGAAAGCAUGGGUUUGAAGUUAAAGCCAAUAAAGACCCGUGUUUCGCUUUAAGUCAGAAACUUUAAGCGAUUCAAAAUUACUUAAUUUUUUUGUUCUUUUUUUAUUUUAUUUUUUUAAAAAGUGCAGAAGUUGAAAGAGUUGUAGAUAAGGGAAGAAUUGUAAGUGUCGUAGGGAGAUGACUUGCAUUCAUUCUUUUGUAGUCGGCCG
RNAcentral lists this unclassified non-coding RNA (209 nucleotides) under Hevea brasiliensis (rubber tree). The record is from RNAcentral. Lineage: Eukaryota; Viridiplantae; Streptophyta; Magnoliopsida; Malpighiales; Euphorbiaceae.